UACGGAGGGAGCUAGCGUUGUUCGGAAUUACUGGGCGUAAAGCGCACGUAGGCGGCUUUGCAAGUUAGAGGUGAAAGCCUGGGGCUCAACUCCAGAACUGCCUUUAAAACUGCAUCGCUUGAAUCCAGGAGAGGUGAGUGGAAUUCCGAGUGUAGAGGUGAAAUUCGUAGAUAUUCGGAAGAACACCAGUGGCGAAGCGGCUCACUGGACUGGUAUUGACGCUGAGGUGCGAAAGCGUGGGGAGCAAACAGG
RNAcentral lists this ribosomal RNA (252 nucleotides) under uncultured bacterium. Its description in RNAcentral is "partial 16S ribosomal RNA". It matches the Rfam family "Bacterial small subunit ribosomal RNA", at positions 524 to 776 of the family's 1533-position model. The record is from RNAcentral.